GAACCCAACAGCCCAUCCAAGAACCCAACAGCCCUUCCAAGAACCCAACAGCCCUUCCAAGAACCCAACAAUAGAUUUAAGAACCCAACAGCCCUUCCAAGAACCCAACAGCCCUUCCAAGAACUCAACAAUAGAUUUAAGAACCCAACAGCCCAUCCAAGAACCCACCACUGUGUCAAAGCCCCCAACCCAUCACGUCCCAGGCGAUGCCCCCACCUCCCUCUCACCUUUGGGGCUCAGAUCCAUUCCCUCCACGUAGAAGACGCCGUUGCGCAGCGCGAUCUCUUGCAGGAUGAUGCCAAAGCUGUACACAUCACCCUUCUGCGUGCCGCGGGCCGGCGGUAUCUCCAUGCGCAGCAGCUCCGGCGCCGUCCACAGCUUCUCUGCGGCACCAGGACGGGGUCAGCCGGGCAGGGACGUCGGGGACGGAGCGCGGGGCUCAGCGGGACGGGGCUCACUGGCAAAGAGCGCGUGGGAAUCGUCGCCGUCUGGAGCCACGCGGAAGCUCUCCAGCCCGUAGUCGGUGAUCUUCAGCACGAAGCGGCUGUCCACCACGCAGUUGGAGGACUUGAGGUUGCCGUGGGACAUGAUGACGCCGUUGUGCAGGAACUGCAUCCCCUGGCAGGGCGGGGUUGGGGGGGUUGGACACGGUCCCCCACCCCAUCCCAGUGGGAAUGGGGUUCUCUGUGGGGACCGGCUCGUUACCUUAACGAUGUCAAGAGUCAGGGAGUAGCGGAACAUCCAGUCCAGAGUGAUGCUCUCGUUCUCCAGGAUGUCCUGGGGAUGCAGGGAGGGCACAGCGCUGUCCCCCCAUCCCAGGCAGCAUCAGGGGCCACCAUGCACCCAAAGCAGGGUGGGCUGUGCGCAAUGGGUCCCCCCAGGGCGCAGGGACCCCCCGGCACCUGCAGGCUCCCACGCGGGCAGUACUCAGUCAGGAUGCAGAUGUUUGGGGGAUCGGUGCAGGCGCCGACGAAGCGCGUCAGGUGUUCGUUUUGGACAUCUCGCAUCUGUGGGGCAGCAAAGUGUGGGGUUCUGCCCCACUGCGGGGACCCCCAGCCCUCCCCAGCCCCACCUACGUGCUUCAGCUCAAACAGGACUUUGCGCGUCAGCUCGAUCCGCUUGCGGUUGAGGUGCUUGACGGCCACCAGGUUGCCCUGGGGACAGGUGGGGUGGUGGGUGCCAGCUGGGGUGGGGGUCCCCGGCCCCAAUCCCGUGUCCCCAUACCUUGUAAUACGCCGUCUUGGCGUAGACCUGGAACUGCCCCUCUGCCGUCAUCAGCGAGCCGUAGUUGGAGCCCCUCUGGGGGGGAAGGACGUGGGAUGA
This 1323-nucleotide long non-coding RNA is filed under the name Meleagris gallopavo (turkey). RNAcentral's name for it is "lncRNA (ENSMGAG00000021457.1)". The record is from RNAcentral. Lineage: Eukaryota; Metazoa; Chordata; Aves; Galliformes; Phasianidae.